This 431-nucleotide ribosomal RNA is filed under the name uncultured bacterium. RNAcentral's name for it is "bacterial SSU rRNA". It matches the Rfam family "Bacterial small subunit ribosomal RNA", at positions 29 to 506 of the family's 1533-position model. The record is from RNAcentral.
ACGAACGCUGGCGGCAUGCCUAACACAUGCAAGUCGAACGCCCCGCAAGGGGAGUGGCGCACGGGUGAGUAACGCGUGGGGAUCUGCCCAUCGGUGGGGAAUAACCUCGGGAAACUGAGGCUAAUACCGCAUACGCCCUGUAAAGGGGAAAGAUUUAUCGCCAUUGGAUGGGCCCGCGUCGGAUUAGCUAGUUGGUGAGGUAACGGCUCACCAAGGCGACGAUCCGUAGCUGGUCUGAGAGGAUGAUCAGCCACACUGGGACUGAGACACGGCCCAGACUCCUACGGGAGGCAGCAGUGGGGAAUAUUGGACAAUGGGCGCAAGCCUGAUCCAGCCAUGCCGCGUGAGUGACGAAGGCCUUAGGGUUGUAAAGCUCUUUUGGCGGGGAAGAUAAUGACGGUACCCGCAGAAUAAGCUCCGGCUAACUUCGU